This 253-nucleotide ribosomal RNA is filed under the name uncultured bacterium. RNAcentral describes it as "partial 16S ribosomal RNA". It matches the Rfam family "Bacterial small subunit ribosomal RNA", at positions 524 to 776 of the family's 1533-position model. The record is from RNAcentral.
UACAGAGGUCUCAAGCGUUGUUCGGAUUCAUUGGGCGUAAAGGGUGCGUAGGCGGCGCGGUAAGUCGGGUGUGAAAUCUCGGAGCUUAACUCCGAAACUGCAUUCGAUACUGCCGUGCUUGAGGACUGGAGAGGAGACUGGAAUUUACGGUGUAGCGGUGAAAUGCGUAGAUAUCGUAAGGAAGACCAGUGGCGAAGGCGGGUCUCUGGACAGUUCCUGACGCUGAGGCACGAAGGUCAGGGGAGCUAACGGG